AUUGCCCAAGGCCUCUUGGGCUGGACCCACAGCUGCUGUGGUUGAGACUUCCUUGGUGAACUGGUCACAGACAUGCAGCAACUUGGGGCAGGUAUGGGGUGGCAGGCUUACAUUGCUGGGCUGCAUGACCUUGGGUCAACUCUGGUUCUCUCUGGGCCUUGCCUUUGUAGGCUGACCUGGUGGUUCCUUGUGCCUGGGGUGUUAAUGUUCCUGGAUUGGUGGUGGAACCGGUCUGGACCUUGGCACCUCUAGGCCAUGUUCCAGGGACGCUACUUUGGUAUCCAGCAGCAGGGUGUGGUCUCUUGGUUACAGGCUCUUGUCUGGUGCCGGGAGUCAACCCCUAUUUCACUGCCUCAGGAACCAUCUCUGGGACACCCUGUCUGGCUCUGAGUUUGCAUACAGGGAACAGGGACAGGGUAAGCCAAUGGACACUACCCUCUGGAGGAAAUUGAAUCUAAGAGAAGGGAGCCCCUUUUCCAGGUUCAGAGCACCUCCCACCUCCUGCCCAGGGCCCUCCCAGGGCUGCAUGAACUUUAGUCACCUGGUGACAAGCCGAGUCACUGUGACUUUUUGCUGCCAUCCCACCAUCCUUCGGGCCUGGCUGGACCUCUAGCAGAGGAUUGCCUGUUCUAGACCCUAUUCAGAUGUCUCCAACUGCCUCCACUGGGAUGCUAGUUGCCCCCAGCUGAUCUCUUGCCCCCUCUGGGAUGAGGUAAGGACAUGGAUCCUCAGUCCCUACUCCCUCUUUCCUGCCUCUGUGUCUUGGAGAUGCCCACCCCCAGAUCCUAAUCCCCAUCCAGAGGCCCCCUGAGGAGCUCUGCAGGGGUUGAAGGCGUGGCCCCACUGCUUGGGGGCAGCCAUUCUGUCGCCAGAACUUUCCCAGGCAGACAAAUUGGCUUUUUCCUCCCUGCGCGCGCACCCAUGUCCAAAACUAUCUUCUGAGGAAGAGGGGGGCUCUCUCCUGGGCCCUUGCUGCUGCCCUGGGUCUCAGGUAAACCUACCAGGGUUAUAAGGAGGGGGGGUCUGGGUUUGAGGCCCAGUGCUGUAUCUGACCCACUCUCUAGCCUCGGUUUCCCC
This 1077-nucleotide long non-coding RNA is filed under the name Marmota monax (woodchuck). The record is from RNAcentral. Lineage: Eukaryota; Metazoa; Chordata; Mammalia; Rodentia; Sciuridae.